Molecule: unclassified non-coding RNA, 372 nt
Filed under: Hevea brasiliensis (rubber tree)
Lineage: Eukaryota; Viridiplantae; Streptophyta; Magnoliopsida; Malpighiales; Euphorbiaceae
Source: RNAcentral
GUUAAGAAGAUGUGAUGAGGGGAAUAAAGAAGGUGAAAAGUUAGAAUUUGAUGCUAUCUUCCUUCAAAUUAGGGGAAUGCCAGAAUUCAUGAACAAGAUAAGAAACAGCAAAAAGCCAAAGAAAGAAUCAAGGGAUCCCAUCCCAAAGAUUCCAAAUUUGAUUAUUACCAAGUUAAGCUCAAAAAACAAUGGGCCAAAAUCAAGAUUCUCCAAAGUAAUUACACCAGGAUAAAGCAAAAAACAACCCCAGACAAAGAAUCUUGGAUGUUUCGUUAAUAUGAAAAUUACAAGCUAAUUGUUAUUCAAGUAACACAACUUUUGUCAAUAAUUAAGAAAUUUUCUUUUAUGAAUAACUAAAAAGAAGAGUUUUGG